This 441-nucleotide ribosomal RNA is filed under the name uncultured bacterium. Its description in RNAcentral is "partial 16S ribosomal RNA". It matches the Rfam family "Bacterial small subunit ribosomal RNA", at positions 338 to 795 of the family's 1533-position model. The record is from RNAcentral.
CCUACGGGGGGCAGCAGUGGGGAAUAUUGCACAAUGGGGGAAACCCUGAUGCAGCGACGCCGCGUGAGUGAAGAAGUAUCUCGGUAUGUAAAGCUCUAUCAGCAGGGAAGAAGAAAGACGGUACCUGACUAAGAAGCCCCGGCUAACUACGUGCCAGCAGCCGCGGUAAUACGCAGGUGGCAAGCGUUAUCCGGAUUUACUGGGUGUAAAGGGAGCGUAGACGGCUGUGCAAGUCUGAAGUGAAAGCCCAGGGCUCAACCCUGAGACUGCUUUGGAAACUGUGGAGCUAGAGUGCUGGAGAGGUAAGUGGAAUGCGUAGUGUAGCGGUGAAAUGCGUAGAUAUUAGGAAGAACCCCGAUGGCGAAGGCAGCUUACUGGACAGUAACUGACAUUGAGGCUCGAAAGCGUGGGGAGCAAACAGGAUUAGAUACCCUGGUAGUC